This 29242-nucleotide long non-coding RNA is filed under the name Hordeum vulgare. RNAcentral's name for it is "long non-coding RNA (HVUL_LNC008126)". Lineage: Eukaryota; Viridiplantae; Streptophyta; Magnoliopsida; Poales; Poaceae. The record is from RNAcentral.
CCACAGGUUGACGGGUGCUUUAUCCAGAAAAUCUUUAGUCAUUCCUUGUCACANNNNNNNNNNNNNNNNNNNNNNNNNNNNNNNNNNNNNNNNNNNNNNNNNNNNNNNNNNNNNNNNNNNNNNNNNNNNNNNNNNNNNNNNNNNNNNNNNNNNNNNNNNNNNNNNNNNNNNNNNNNNNNNNNNNNNNNNNNNNNNNNNNNNNNNNNNNNNNNNNNNNNNNNNCCGUUUCCCUCCACCUCAGCUAAUGUGUUUUAAGGACUAGGCAACCUCUUCGUUAUAAGACCGAGAAUAUUAUAUGCCCCGUCUCACCACUAGCUAGGGCCAAACAUCCCUCACGAGUUCCAAACCUGACCUUCUUUAAGCUGCUUCGACUACGGGAACCACAAGGAAAACGGAACACGAGCGGGAAUGUGGGAGUGUGUAGUUAGAGAUGCUCUUACAUUUUAUANNNNNNNNNNNNNNNNNNNNNNNNNNNNNNNNNNNNNNNNNNNNNNNNNNNNNNNNNNNNNNNNNNNNNNNNNNNNNNNNNNNNNNNNNNNNNNNNNNNNNNNNNNNNNNNNNNNNNNNNNNNNNNNNNNNNNNNNNNNNNNNNNNNNNNNNNNNNNNNNNNNNNNNNNNNNNNNNNNNNNNNNNNNNNNNNNNNNNNNNNNNNNNNNNNNNNNNNNNNNNNNNNNNNNNNNNNNNNNNNNNNNNNNNNNNNNNNNNNNNNNNNNNNNNNNNNNNNNNNNNNNNNNNNNNNNNNNNNNNNNNNNNNNNNNNNNNNNNNNNNNNNNNNNNNNNNNNNNNNNNNNNNNNNNNNNNNNNNNNNNNNNNNNNNNNNNNNNNNNNNNNNNNNNNNNNNNNNNNNNNNNNNNNNNNNNNNNNNNNNNNNNNNNNNNNNNNNNNNNNNNNNNNNNNNNNCAUCAAAGACAAACACCCACCGACCCCGCAAGAUUCGCCGAAGACACACCUCCACACGCCCUCCGGCGACGCUACAUUUUUUAGAAAAGGAGGCCACGCCCCGGCCUCUGCAUCGAGAGAUGCAUACAGCCCUUUAUUAAUAAAAAGAAACCAGAUCCGGAAUGAGUACAAUAAUGUUGAGAAUCGAUACAAGGCGCUCAAAGCGUCCAACCAGCAAAAGUAUAAUAAGUACUCCCUCCGUCCCAANNNNNNNNNNNNNNNNNNNNNNNNNNNNNNNNNNNNNNNNNNNNNNNNNNNNNNNNNNNNNNNNNNNNNNNNNNNNNNNNNNNNNNNNNNNNNNNNNNNNNNNNNNNNNNNNNNNNNNNNUACUCCCUCCGUCCCAAAAUAAUUGUCUCAAUCUUAGUACAACUUUGUACUAGAGCUAGUACAAAGUUAAGACACUUAUUUUGGGACGGAGGGAGUAGAUGUCUAGCCACCUAUCCUAUUAGCUGGCCGCCAUCCAAAUCGGUUGAAGAUAACUUGUGCUACCAUCUCCCAGCGGAUACACCCAGUAAUCAUAAGCUCCCUGGAAUCCGCAGGAGUGAGUAAUGACCACGUGCGGGUCAGUGCGGUAGCCCUAUAUAUUACCUGCAAAAAAUGUAUAGAUGUGCAUCUGUUAAAAACUAAAUCAUUCCCGCAAUUCCAAAUUGCCCAUAGUAAUGCGCAAGCUCCAACACGGAUAUUCUUUGCCAAAUGACCACCAACUCCCUGUACCCACGUCCCAAACAAUGUAUUGACACUAGUGGGUGGGGUGAUAUUAAAGGCAAUGUGUAUAGAACGCCAUAAGAUUUUACCCAUCGGACAUUGGAAAAAGAGGUGCUUGAUAGUUUCCUUGUUGUCACAAAAGUUGCAUCGCUGGCUACCCUUCCAUUUUCGUUUAGCCAAGUUGUCUUUCGUGAGGAUAACACCUUUGUGAACGAACCACAUAAGGAUCUUUAUCCUCAACGGAACUUUGACCUCCCAGACAUGCUUGGAUCUUGGUAUGUACCUUGAAUCUAUAAGAUGAAGGUACAUAGAUUUUACCGAAAAGGAUCCAUCCUUAGUUAGCUUCCAACGAAUAGUGUCGGGCCGAUCCGACAGUUGUAUUUGCAUUAAUCUCCUAACUAAGUGUAGCCAUCUGGUCCAUCUUACACCAAUCAAAGAUCGANUAUAGCUGCGGAUAUUCCAGCGCUAGUGGCACAUCCCCUAACCAUGUAUCCUUCCAGAAUCUAGUUGAUUCACCAUUAGCAAUGACAAACCUAGUCUGGUUAAAAAACACGUUCUUACACCGCAGCAAUCCUUUCCAAAAUGGAGAAUCAUUGGGUUUAACGGUGACCUGAGCUAAGGUCUUAUGUUGCAAGUACUUAUUCCGUAGAAUUUGCACCCACAUGGCCGAUCCGACAGUUGUAUUUGCAUUAAUCUCCUAACUAAGUGUAGCCAUCUGGUCCAUCUUACACCAAUCAAAGAUCGAAGAAACCUGAUAUUAAGAGGCGUGUUGCUCAAGACUGCCGCAACCGACGCUUGUCUGCGUUGGACAAUAUUGUAUAGCUGCGGAUAUUCUAUCGCGAGGGGCACAUCCCCUAACCAUGUAUCCUCCCAGAAUCUAGUUGAUUCACCAUUAGCAAUGACAAACCUAGUCUGGUUAAAAAACAUGUUCUUACACCGCAGCAAUCCUUUCCAAAAUGAAGAAUCAUUGGGUUUAACGGUGACCUGAGCUAAGGUCUUAUGACGCUACAUGAAUCUUGGAAGUUGAUAGAAACUAAAGUAUGUUUUUUUUCUGUUUUCAUGAUUUUGUAGUUUUGUUUGGUAUUAUACACUAAAGUUGCAUUUUGAAACUAUGUUAAUUUAACGGAUGUCAGCUUUUAAAAACUAGUGGUUUUAUUUAGCAGCACAAAAGAACACGGAGAAAAUCCAGGCAAGUAGAGAUAGAGUACACACAAAUGAGCAAAGUAAGUUAGUUGGGUCAAGUUGGUUGUAUGUAAUGCAUGGGAAAUGUGAGGAGUCAAGAUGUACAUGCCUUUCUAUUUUUACAAAAAUGUUGCUUCCUUGCACCCUUUAUGACCGAAAAUUUGGACAUUUACACCAGGGUACUUAAAUCUUUCAAUAGUUCUGGUAGCAUACACAAGGCCUUUCUGCUGAUCAACGAGAACAACAAGAUACAUCAGAUGAUGUCAUAACUGUCACCAUUUUGAUGCCGAACUCACUGAGCACGACUGGAUGUAUAGGAGCAACGACUACGAGAUGAAUGGAUGGCUGCAAUAUGAGAAUAAUGAAAAAAAGAAGUCCGGUGAUCAUUCACGCUGACUUUAGCAUUCAACUUUUGGAAAAUAAUUAAGUCUUGCUUUAGGAAAUAACAAUUAGCAAGAUUCAUUAAAAGAAGAAAAUGGAGUGAUACUUUUUUUAGGUACAUGUCAUGCACUGACCAAAAGAGAAAACGAAACUAUGCUGCAACGUGAAUAGAAGAUCGUUUUUCGUGCAAGUCCACAGGCCACAACACUAGUUCUUUUUUUGAGAAUCUUUCGUGACAAGCUACUCCACCCCAUAUACUAUAUAUAUUGAAACUUCCUUCUCCCCUGGCUCCAGAUAUAUAUGAGCUCCGUAUUAGGUGACUGCAAUCAUACAAUAAGUCACUAGUACAAUUCUGAAUUGGACUAGCCUUAUUUUCAAACUUAGAAUGUACCUUAUAAGAACGCACUCGUGUCUCGAGUACAAAAUUAGUGUGUGCAACUUUUCUUGGAAAUGGGAGGCUCCGGGAAUACAUCGAUCUCCUGCAACUGUGGGACUUGUAGCUUGUGUGGUGAGAAAACUUUGAACUUGGCAGAAACAUCAGGCCUUCAUGUAGCUAGCACCCUUGCUGCUCAUCAACUUUAGACACAAGCCACGUUGGGCUCAACCAUGUUGUAUUCUUUUUUGUGUCAUUAUCAUGUCUCCAAGAUUAUUAUGCUGAAGCGGCCCCGCCCCUACUUCACAGUUUGUAUGUCCAAAGGGCUGGAUACUAGCAAACUGAAACAUUAGAUAGGGUGAGCGGUGGUGGGCACUGUGUGGGUCAUGAACGGUUGCUGGUGGUGGGCACUGCUUCGGGGGAAACCCUAGAAUAUUGUCUUCCAGAUCGGACGAUGACGAUACUGCGGUGCCGUUUCUCUCUUGGGAGCAUCGUUUGUGGAGCAGUGCUGGCAGACUGAGGCAGGAGGUGGAGCGGCUUCGUCUUGCACGGAAUUUUGGUGGAGCUGUCAAGUCAUGCCUGGCCGACAGGUGCUACGCUGAGUCAUGCCUGGUUGGCAGGUGCUAUGCACGACAGAACUCUCGGAGUCUUCGCAUCUGGACGGAUGAGCGCACGGCAGUGGCGUCGUUGGGCGUCGUGGUGGCGUCGACGGAUGAUUGGACUGGCAAGGAUGAUGCGGAUCUCUUUCCUGAAGAUGGGUCAGUGGUUCGAGGAUGAUGACGGUUGGUAAAACGUGUGCAUGAGGUGUGCGUUUUAGGUGUGCUGCACCGGCUGUUGUUCCCGAUACGUUAUGUGGAUGGAUUGGAAACAACACCGGUCUUAAAUAUGCGGAGUGAGAGCACUCCACAUUAUCGAGUUUAUAGGUGUGAGUGGUGGCUUUGGUGGAUUGAUGUAUACUCUUGUUAGACCUUUGUGGAAUAACUAAAAAGAUGGCUGCAUGCAUCGACUGAUGCAAAGGUCGGGAGUUUAACCUCCUUCUCUAAAAAAAUUAGAUAGGGUGAUGGCUCUCAGAUAGAACCUAUCUAUAUUUAUACUUAUACUAAUUAUACACUUCCAAGAAAUUCCCACGUUAAUCAAUAAUUAAGGACUGUUAAUCUUGUGGGGCCAAAUUAUUAUGGUCUAGAUCUCUCUUGAAUCUCUCCCAAAAAUGAAAAAAAAUCUCAAGGACACCUAACCUAUCUAUCACGUAAUCUCUCUCACAACUAUUACGGUCUAGAUCUCUCUCGAAUCUCUCCCAAAAAUGAAAAAAUAUCUCAUGGACACCUAACCUAUCCAUCACGUAAUCUCUCUCACAACUCCCGAGAUAUAUCAAUCUCUCUCCGAAUUGCUCUUUCAAUUUCAUCUUCUCGAUCUCCAAUAACAAAAACCGGCAUGCUGCUGCCCUACCUGAUUGAGCACCUUUUUGCCAUAUGCAGCGCACCAUUGUCAAACGGAAAGAAGAAGUAUUUGAUUGCCUUCGCCACCCAAUCUCGCGGGGUUGCUUGCCUACGUCCGAUGUAUUCAUGCUAAGCCGGUGCAAUGGGGUAUUCGCACCAUGCAACUCCGGCAGCAAUGAUCAAUAUCUAAGCAAGCCAGACAUCUCUUAGGCCGUGGGAUAACAGUACUCUGCCCUCAUCUCGGAUGCAGGGAUAUGUAACUACGUAUUCUCCUCUAUCGCUUCAGGCACGAGGGAACUCAACCACCGCUGAAUAAUGGCAACAUCGGCAGCUUCCCUCCAUGUUUUCCUGACCAGGAAUGCUAGCGCUCGACCACUGCCGAUUGGUGCCAUAGAUCAGCAAUCGGUAAUCUUGAUAUAUAUUUGUGUUAAUCACGAUCAUCAAUAUUAGCGCAAUAUUAACAUGGUUUCCCGAUCACGUCUGUAUCAUUAAAUUUUUUUUGGUUAUUUCAUAUUCAACAAAACAUAUGUUCACAUGUGCGAAUCUCCGUGUGUAGGUAUUGUCCCUUCAGGUACGUGGGAACUCAACCACCGCUGAAUGAUGGCAACAGCGGGAGCUUCCAUCCAUGUUUUCCUGACCAGGUAUGUUAGCACUCAGACCACUGGUGAUUGAUGCCAUCAGCGAUCAGUAAUCUUGAUAUAUAUUUGUGUUAAUCACGAUCGUCAAUAUUAGCGCAAUAUUAACAUGGUUUCCCGAUCAGGCAUGUAUCAUUCAAAAAUUAAUGGUUAUUUUAUAUUCAACAAAAACAUAUGUUCACAUGGGCUAAUCUCCGUGUGUAGGUAUGUCAUAAACGGAGGAGGAAUUUAGCAAUACCAGUUCCAGCUCAAAUUUGACCGGUCCUGUUCAGCUUUUCUACAGCCUCUACUGUCGAACAUUACAUGUUGUACGUGGCCUAGAACUUUCUUACACCGUAUUUAUGUAUUAAACCUCAGAUUAGUGUCCCCCGUGCACUUCAUGGCUCAUUCUUUAUAUUUCCAUUUUCUCCCCUUACAAAGUCUUAUGUAAAAUCAUAACUUUUUAGUCUCGAGCAAUGGCUUUCAGUAGUUUUGUUCUAAGACCAUGUUCUAAAUCCUUAAUUUUUAUAAGCUUUUUUAUGGUCGUGGGAGUCGUACUCACCUUGGUCUCCCCACGUUUCACUCACCUUGGCCUCUCCACGUUUCCUUUGGAAAGAAAAACGAUAUGAAAUCUGAGCGGUAUCUCCUACUUCGAAAACCUCCCAAGUGAUUGCAUGUCCGAUCCUAUGUGUUCUCUCUUUCUCUCACCAUCAGAAUUCUUGCAUUUAUGUCGUCACCGGAGGCAGGAUGCCCUCUCCGAUUAGCUCAUGUGCCUCUAAACAUAAUGCCUCAAUCCACUAUCUUUACAAGUAUACGGUGGUCAUGCUCUAGCUCCUUUAAUGUUAGGUCUGAUCUCUUUUUUAUGCCCCAUGAUUUAUAUCCAUUGUAUUUUUAGUUAUACAUAUAUGGAACUGAUGGAUAAGUAGGAUUAAUGGAUGUAUAGUUCAACACUUGACGAUGAAUAGAUGAAAUAAAUAUAUGCAUACAUAAAUGAUUGCAUGCUUCAGCUUAUAAUUUGGCAUAUUGUUAUUCCUCGGGGUUCCAAAUCAAGGAGACAUUCAUUUAUACAUUAAAAUUUCCGUACAUAUAAGAUUUUUGUUUCUCCUUCUAAUUAAAAACAACAUGUAAUUUUGGUGCAUGUUCAAAAGGUUCUCGGUUCAACUAUAUACAUUUACUCAAGAUAUUUUUUUAACAUUUUGUACAUCGGUGUGUACAUACAUGGCAUCGGUGAUCGAUAGUGCCAUAUCUCAUCUGUAUAACCAAUUUGGAUAUUCAAUAGCACUUCCACUUGAUUUGUGGACUAUUAGACACAUAUGUAAAUGGCUGAUACUGUUGGAUUAAUGGAAGAUUUUUUUUAUUAUUUACCGAGAAUAGAUGUUUGUUUUAAGCAGUUAUAGGGAAAAGAGAUGAUACGGUGUACUGCUGCCAACUUUGUCUAAGUUAUAUUUGGUACCGGGAGUGUUGAUAAUUUAUUUGGAUGAUAACAAAUUCAUUCUAUUAGUGAUGUUGAGAGUGUACAAUCGUCCAACCAUUCAUGUUCAGAGUGUAUUUGGAUGAUAAUGUAUUUCAAGAGGAUAAUACAAAGUCUAUGGAAUCAUAGUUAGUUUUCCUUUUUAUGUAUAAACAAUAUUUUUAAAGAGUGUACCACUAAGCUAUUGUUUAAAUAACUAGCCGGCCCGUGCGAUCACACGGGUUGACGAGUAGUGUGGAUAAUCAUCGUUGUUAAGAUAUCACACAAUAAAAAAAGUAACUGCUCUUAAUCUUUAAUUGGGAGCAACUAAUGUUUCAACUAUCACCCAGUGGGAGAGAUUAAAGCGAAUUAAAGCGUCCUAGCUAGCCUUGCCCGGCCAUGUUAUGGCCGGAAAUCCUUCAAGUGAGAUGCACCAUUCUUCGUACUUUGAUUCUACUGGUAUCCAUCCGGAAGAAUUACGACGACGUACCACUGCAAUCCAACUAUCCAAGUUCAGCCGUCGUGUAUGUGUCUUCCGUAGUUCCAUGACAAAUUACUGAAUGCUGCCAUUCCGCCUACUGCUUCAUCGUCCAUCCCAGUUGUUGCUCGAACUUCAGAUAUGACUAGCACUUUCGAUUAUUCUGUGGAAGUAUUGCACUAACGAGAGCAACAUUAUCAUAAGAAAUAGCAAGGCAUGUGUUUCCACAUAUCUUCGAACUAUCGGGUAGAUACAUACGACCCACACACCACAAUUGCGACAUCUCCAUAGAUCACACACAACUCCAUGAAAAUUUCAUCUUGCAAUACACCAAAGCCUUGCUCUUGUAUUUAUCGUUUGUGUGUUCAUGUAGUUACUGAUAUGAUCCGAUGAAUUCACUUUUUUUGUGAGUACACUCUUUGCAGCAAAACUCAACCCGCUUGCAUAACCGUGUGGCCUGAGGUGGUACACUUUGUUAAGGUUGCUUGAAAAUGCUUUUCAUCACUAGUGGAUAAAGGGGUAUUAGAACCGGUUGGUAAGGGCCUUUGGACCCGGAUACACAUCCGGUGCUACGUAUCCGGGACUAAAGGCCCCCCACUUUAGCACCGGUCUCUUACAAACCGGUGCUAAAGGCCUCCACGUGGGCGCCGAAAAGUGCGCGCAGGCGGAGGACCUUUAGGACCGGUUGGUAACACCAACCGGUCCUAAUGCUUUUUUUUUUUCUUUUUUUUUCCUUUUCUUUUCAGGGUUUCCGAUUCCGUAUUUCGGUGUUUCCGUGUUCCGCAUUUUCAGGGUUUUCGUUUACGUGUUUCCGGUUCCGUAUUUCCGUUUACGUCUUUCCGAUUCCGUGUUUCCGAUUCCGUGUGUCCGUGUUCCGUUUUUUAUGAACACGUAAUCGGAAACACGUAUCCGGAAACACCGAUUCCGUGUUUGCGGUUAAGUGUUUCUCCGAUUCCGUGUUUGCGGUUAAAUGUUGAUGCACCAAAUAAAAGUACAUAUAUACAUGUAACACGAAGUACUGGACCGAUUAUCAUUACAUAAUUUGAAGUUCGUUUCCUAUAUAUAGCUCUAUACUUGCAUAGAGAAGGGAGCUGGCUAUUGGUUCAUAGGAUGGAAAAAUUCUCCGCCUUCAUCUAUGACUUGCGUGAGGAGAAAUCCUGCCAAUUCCUCUGCAACUGCCUUGCAACGUUGGAUUGGUCUUAGCAUCGCCCGCUUUCGUUGCAGCUUUAAAAGAAGUAGAUGAAAACAAUUAAGUUAUGAACAAAACUAACAUAAUUGAUGGCAACAUAAAUAAAGUUAUGAAGAUCCUGUUACGUACCUCUAGAUUUCUGGAAGUACGGGAUUUCUCAUUGAUAAUCCUGUGAAUGUACUCGCAAACGUAGUAUCCACAAUAAUCAGUGCCCUGUGGUUGUUACAGGACGCCCUAUAUACGAGAACAUAAUUCAGUCAAAUUAAUAAUAAUCAAGAGAAUGGUAAUGGUAUUGAAACCAGGGUACGUAGUACUACUUACUUUGUUAAUCUGAAAGUGGAGCUUGUCUGCCCAUGUACCGGGUUCUUCCUUGAUGAACAUUUGCCAAACCCUGGCCGACAAAGAAAAAUGAAUACAAGAGUUAAUUAUUACUUACUUGAUAUCAGGAAAUGAACGAAAAAGAGGCCGAUGAACGAAAGAGGCCGAUAUAUAUAUACCUUUGAAGCAUCUGACGCGCGCUCUUCCAUUUGUCAGCGUCCCAGGUUAACGGGUCCUAGACUUCAACCACUCCUUGAUCGAUUCUAAUGAUGAACAAUAUGAAGUGGGACCUGCGCACGUGUACACACGCAGUCAUGCAUAGUCAUCAAUUACACUUAACAUCAGGUAAGCAAAAUGGAAUGUGUACAAGACAGUAACACUCACUUGAAUGCGUAGGGCCAAAGUAUUUCUUUUUUGGUACUUUGUCGCUUCAAAAACCUUAGCAAAUCAUCCGGUGUAUCCUUGUUGAACUUUUCUAUUGUCUCUUGAUGAAAUGAAUACGGGUCAAUGAACCCAAAGUCCCAGAUUCCUGCCAGCCUGCAUUCACGAAUCUUCAUUCUGCAUAGUAGCGUACAAAAAGAAUGUCUCGUGAGUGAUAAUUAUACGGGCAAUGAGCGCGAGCUUAACUAAAUAAUUAAAUUACACAAAUAAAUCACUUAUAAACAGUAGCAGCUGACGAUAGCUUUGUCGAGGGCACGUUGAUUGUACAUCUGGAAAAAAUCAUCGAACCCAAUCUCCACACCGUACUCUCUGAAGUAGUGUUGAUCCUGAACUGCCGCCAUGAUACAGUCUCUCUUUUGCCUUGCGGCCUCCAAGUACCAACCAUGUAAAUUCCAUAGUUGGGUUGUUAGAGCACUAGGAUUUUCGACCAGAGGCUGCUCGGGCUUAUAUUUAUAUACCACAUCAGCAAUAGCGUAACCUACGUCGCCCAUGCGUGGACCGGACACUGAAGCCUGGUCAGAUAACACCUUGAGCGGGGCAAUUGACUGUGCUUCUUGUUGUCCGAGCUGGGGAACUUGUUUCCCGCAUUUCGUCUGCUCCGCCUGCUUCAUCUGUGCGGUGUGCAUCUUUUCAAUGAACCGUUCAUAGUCUGAAAGGGGCGGCGGUGGCGGCGGUUCAGGAUAAUAUAAGUUGUCGAUGGUGCGCUCAAUUUUCCACUUUGGUACGUUCUUCAGAGUUUCCUUCCAGAUGUCUGGAGGGGAUUCAGGGGAAACCGUGCGAACCAUGCUUUGUUUUUGGCUUUCACGGCCUCGUCUAGUUCCUCCGGAGUCAUCAGGCCUGGUAAUUUCGGGGGAGUCUUGACUUUAUUGGGUUUCCUUUCUCUCUUCUUGGGAGGACUCCCGUUUCUUCUGAACUGCAGCUUCCGCUUUGCCGUACCCGUAGUGCGCGCAUCCGUCGGCUCACUGGAGUGCACGGGCGAUGGACACUCGGCCUCGGGCUCCCUAUCUUCGUUGUGGGGUGGACUUGGAGGUGCGUUGGGGGGGUGGACUUGGAGGUGCGUUGGGGGGUGGACUUGGAGGUCGUGCAUUCUCUGUACGAAAGUGAAAAAACUAUUAAAAAUAGGCUUACAUGUGGUGCAACAUUCAGUAAUCGUUGGAGGUGGUGCAUAAUUGUACCUGGAGGAGUCGGUGGCCUUGGCGCCGCGUUAGGAAACACGAUGUGUUUCUUCUUCCACAAGAUGAUACCAAGCUCCAUUUCUCCCAGUGUCUUCUCACCUUCACCUCCAGGAAUAUCAAGCUCAAUUGACUGGCAUCCCGACGUAAUUGUUGACAACCCGACACGAGCAUGGGAUGCUGGAAUCUGACCACCAUGGUAGGUUGCUCCAGGUUGAUUCGGUAAAGCAUAGCCUGACGCCACCAUGAAGGAUAUGUUCCCCAUUGGCAUAUGUAUCUCACAGUUUGUCUUCUCCGUGACAUCAUCCACGGGGUAGUGAGGCGCCGACGGUUCGACUGCAGGACCGUCUUCUAGCUGCAGCUGCGUGGAACCCACGCUGCUUCUAUGCUGAGAUGGGACGGCAUCUGCUACAGGAUCGUCUUCUAAUUGCUGCCUAUCAGCGUCAGGUGCAGGAUCUUCUUCCUCCUCUUCAGUGUCAGGUACAGGGUGUCCCCCUUUCUUCAAGAGAAACGACACCUUUUCUUCUAAUGUCGCUAUCCGUUCCAGCGCCUUCCUCUUGCUUCUACCACGGCUUCUGUAAGUGUCAAGGUCCGCCGGAAACCCUUGGUUCCACGGGGUAGUGGCUCCAAAGCCUCGUGUUCGUCCCCACUUUUCGGGGUUCCCGAGUGCCUUCGUCAACUCGUCGUUCUCUCUAUCGGGAACAAAAGUUCCUUUUCGAACAGCUUCUGUUGCCUUCUCUAGAUCUGAUACGACUUGUCUUAUUUUUUCCGACCAUGGUCCCUCCGCAACAAUCAUCCCAGUCUCAGCGUCCAACGUUGCCCCAUGCGCAAACAACCAGAACUUGGACCUAUCGGGCCAGUCAUGUGUCUGUGGAAUGAUAUUUCUUUUCAGAAGCGCAUCUUCAUAGCGUCGCCACCUAGGCAGGGCAGUCAUGUAGCCACCUGACCCCAAAAUAUGGUGAUAUUUCUUCUUCUUCGCAUUCUCCGUAUUUGUCGCUGAUCGGGAUGUAAAGACACCCGAUUUCUUGUACGCCUUAAAAUCAGGCCAAGCGUCUCUUAUCUUCACUAGGUGCCUAGUGAAAACUGGAUCUUCGUCCUUAUAUUUCUUCCACAAGUCUUUCUUCCACCUCUGGAAUUGUGUGGCCAUCUUCUUCAAAGCCCACUCCUCGACUUUCUUCUUCUUAUCUUCCGCUACGCUGAAAUUUAGCCAGACCGUGUCGCAAAGCACUCUUUUCAAUCUGUCAUCGACAUAAGUAGCUCCAACGUUGGCGCCGGUCUUCGGCUUAUUCCAUUCUAUUAAGUUGAUCGGGACCAGGUCUCUUACAACAACUCCGCACUGAUUUACAAAUUUGCGAUAAGUUUCUGGGGGUUCCAGUGGUUUGCCAUCAGCAGCAACUUUAUCGAUCGAGUACCUUGCAGUAUCUUUCAACCUUGCGGCCGGGCCUCGUUUCGACUUUGUCUCAGUACUUGCGCUAGGUGUUCCGGAGGGCACCUAAACGGGAAAAUAAUGAUUCGUUAGUAAGUGCAAUACAAAUUAAUUGUUGCGUCAACAGUGACUUGAGAUAUACAUUGGCAGAGUUUGUUCCGGAGGGCACUUCUUCAUCUACUACAUCUUCUAUAUUCUCAGCUCCGUCACCGGAGUCAUUCAAAAAUUGAUUGCUAAACGCAUGCCCACCGUCGUCAUCAUGAUAUAUGGCCGUUGCAUCUUCAAAAAUCAUCUGGCACAUGUAUCUUUCCUUCUCCGCCUCACCCAUUUCCGCGAGCUGAUCGGCGUGCUGAUUAUGUGGAUCUUGGGGAUCCAUAGCUCAACACCUGCUAGUAACAAGAAUUUAACUUAGCAAAAUUAUUUACGGAAAACUUUUACGGAACCGGAAAAGUUUUACGGAAUCGUCGGAGUCGUAAUCAUCGCAAAGUUUUACGGAAUCGUCGGAAAGUUUUACGGAAUCGUCGUAAUCGUCGAAAACUUUCCCCGCAGUUAUGGAAUUAAUCGUCGGAAUCGUAGGAAAGUUUUACACAAUUGUAAUCGUCGGAAAGUUUUACGGAAUCGUCGGAAUCGUCGGAAACUUUCCCCGCAGUUAUGGAAUCGUCGGAAUCAUAGGAAAGUUUUACGGAAUUGUAAUCGUCGGAGAGUUUUACGAAAUCGUCGGAAUCGUCGGUUUAGGGUUUUACGGAAUCGUCGGUUCAGGGUAAACUAUGAAUCGUCGGAAUCGUCGGAAUCGUCGGUUUAGGGUUUUACGGAAUCGUCGGAAUCGUCGGUUUAGGGUAAACUAUGAAUCGUCGGAAUCAUCGGAAUCGUCGGUUUAGGGUUUUACGGAAUCGUCGGUUUAGGGUAAACUAUGAAUCGUCGGAAUUGUCGGAAUCGUCGGAAUCGUCNGAGGAGGCGGCGGCGCGGCGAGGCGGCGACGGCGCGGCGAGGCGGCGAGGAGGGAUCGAGGCGGCGAGGAGGCGAGAGAAGGAGAGAAGGCACGCGCGGGAAGGCGAGAAGUUGGCGACCCCGGAGAGGUAUAGGGCCUUUAGCACCGGUCUUNNNNNNNNNNNNNNNNNNNNNNNNNNNNNNNNNNNNNNNNNNNNNNNNNNNNNNNNNNNNNNNNNNNNNNNNNNNNNNNNNNNNNNNNNNNNNNNNNNNNNNNNNNNNNNNNNNNNNNNNNNNNNNNNNNNNNNNNNNNNNNNNNNNNNNNNNNNNNNNNNNNNNNNNNNNNNNNNNNNNNNNNNNNNNNNNNNNNNNNNAAGACCGGUGCUAAAGGGUCCAAAUUCGGGCGCGAACAGAACCCACCUUUAGGACCGGUUGUUGUUACAGACCGGUCCUAAUGGUCACCUUUAGGACCGGUCGUUGUUACAGACCGGUCCUAAAGGUUUUUUUCCUUUUUUUUCCUUUUUUCUGUUUCCUGUUUUCUUUUUUUUUGUUUUCUUUUUCUUUUUCCUGUUUCUUCUUUUAUUUUUAUUUUUUCUUUUUUCUGUUUCCUGUUUUCUUUUUAUUUUUGUUUCCUUUUUCUUUUUCCUGUUUCUUUUUUUAUUUUUCUUUUUUCCUUUUUCUGUUUUCUGUUUUCUUUUUCUUUUUGUUUCCUUUUUCUUUUUUCUGUUUCUUCUUUUAUUUUAUUUUUUUGUUUUCCUUUUCCGUUUUUUUUACAUUUAUUUACAAAUUGUUAAAAUGUCAUUUUUACACUUCAAAAAUUAAAAAUGAUAUUUAUCAAAAUGAUCAAAUUUAGUGGAAACUGAUCAAAUUUUUAAUAUUUAUCAAAAUGGUCAACACAAUUACAUAAAAGGUUUAAUACAUUAUUACACAUCACCAACAACACCCCCUAUCUAUUUUUCUUCUUGCCUUUCUUCUGAUUGCACCGUAACCAUGGACUAUCUUCAUCAUUUAACGGGAUGCUUGGAUCAUCUUUGACUUUGAAGGGAGGAAUUUCAUCAAAUUUAUUGUAAUCUUCUGACAUGUCUGUCUUGUCCUCGACUCCCACGAUGUUUCUUUUUCCUGAAAGAACUAUGUGGCGCCUUGGCUCAUCGUCUGAUGUAUUCACUUCCUUAUCUUUUCUUUUUCUCGGUCUGCUAGACAUGUCCUUCACAUAGAAAACCUGAGCCACAUCAUUGGCUAGGACGAAUUGAUCAUUGCCGUACCCAAGAUUCUUCUGAUCCACUGUUGUCAUUCCGUACUUCGGGUCUACCUUCACGCCUGACAGGUUGAACCAUUUGCACCAGAACAAAGGGACCUUAAAGGAAGGUCCGUAGUCAAGUUCCUAUAUCUGCUCUAUGUAACCAUAGUAUGUGACUCUUUGCCCGUUGUCAUCUUUUGCAUCAAACCGGACGCCACUGUUUUGGUUGGUGCUCUUUUUAUCUUGGUCUGCUGUGUAAAAUGUGUUACCAUUUAUCUCGUACCCUUUAAAGGUCAAUACAGUCGAAGAUGGUUGCUUGGCCAACAAGUAUAGCUCAUCUUCAACAAUGUUGUCAUUAAUGAGACGUCUUUGCAACCAACCGCCGAAAGUCUUCGCGUGUUCUUUAGCAAUGAAAUCUUCAGGUUGCUCCGGGUAUUCCGAGCGUAAAAUAUCCUUGUGUUCCUGGAUAUAUGGAGCCGACAAGCUGGAAUUAACUAGAACUGUGUAGUGUGCUUGAGUGAAAGAUUGCUCGUCCAUACAUGUUGUUGAUUUCUUUCCUAGCGUGCCUUUUCCACGCAGUCUCCCCUCAUGGCGUGACUGAGGAACACCGAUCGGGUUCAGGUCAGGAAUAAAGUCAACACAAAACUCAAUGACCUCCUCUGUUCCAUAGCCCUUGACAAUGCUUCCUUCUGGCCUAGCACGGUUUUUAACAUAAUUCUUCAAGACUCCCAUGAACCUCUCAAAGGGGAACAUAUUGUGUAAGAAUACAGGACCGAGAACGGAAAUCUCUUGGACUAGGUGAACUAUGAGGUGCGUCAUAAUAUUGAAGAAGGUUGGUGGGAACACCAACUCGAAGCUGACAAGACAUUGGACCACGUCCUUCUGUAAACUUGGUAGAGUUGCUGGAUCGAUUGCCUUCUGAGAAAUUGCGUUAAGGAAUGCACAUAGCUUCACAAUGGGUACUCGCACGUUUUCUGGCAGAAGCCCCCUCAAUGCAAUCGGAAGUAACUGGGUCAUGAUCACGUGGGAGUCAUGAGACUUUAGGUUUUGGAACUUUUUCUCUUCCAGGUUUAGUAUUCCUUUUAUGUUCGACGAGUAGCCAGACGGGACCUUGAUACUCCUCAGGACUUGGAAAAAGAUCUCCUUCUCUUCCUUGGUAAGAGCGUAGCUGGCAGGACCUUUGAAAUUCUCUCGAUUCAUCAGGUCGUCUCGUUCGUGCAUACGUUUGUGGUGCGGCCGUGCUUUUGGUGUAUCUCUCGACUUCUUCCCAUGCACGCCCAAUAAGUUUAGCAGGUUCAUGCAAAUAUUUUUCGUCACGUGCAUCACGUCGAUCGCAGAGCGAACCUCUAGGAAUUUCCAAUAGGGUAGUUCCCAGAAUAUAGAUUUCUUCUUCCACAUGGCUACGUGGUUCUCGGCGUCACUCGGAACAGAUUGUGCGCCAGGACCCUUACCAAAGAUUACUUUUAUAUCUUUGACCAUGUCAUAUAUAUCAGUACCUUUAGGGAGGGUUGGCUUCCUCCGUGUAUCUGCCUCGCCUUUGAAAUGCUUUCCUUUCUUUCUUACGGGAUGCCUGUCUGGAAGAAAUUGACGAUGCCCCGGGUACACAUUCUUGCCUAUAUGUAUACUUUCAGUCUCGCCUAAACAGUGUGUGCAUGCGCUGUAUCCCUUGUUUGACUGUCCUGAGAUGUUACUAAGAGCGGGCCAAUCAUUGAUGGUUACAAACAGCAACCCUCGUAGGUCAAAUUCCUCCUGUUUGUACUCGUCCCACACACGUACACCUUCGUCAGCCCAUAACUCUAAAAGUUCAUCAACCAGUGGCCUCAGGUACACAUCAAUGUUGUUGCCGGGUUGCGACAGGCCUGGGAUAAGCACUGGCAUCAUAAUGAACUUACGCUUCAUGCAUAACCAAGGAGGAAGGUUAUAGAUACAUAGAGUCACGGGCCAGGUGCUAUGACUGCUACUCUGCUCCCCAAACGGAUUCAGGCCAUCUGUACUUAGACCAAACCUUAAGUUUCUUGGGUCACGUGCGAAGUCCUCGUACUUAUCGUCGAUGUUUCUCCACUGCGACCCAUCAGCGGGUUGUCUCAGCAUAUCGUCUUCCUUACGGUCUUCUUUGUGCCAUCGCAGCAACUUGGCAUGCUCUUUGUUUCGGAACAAACGUUUCAACCGUGGUAUUAUAGGAGCAUGCCACAUCACCUUGGCAGGAACCCUCUUCCUGGGGCGGUCGUCGCCCUCAACAUCACCAGGGUCAUCUCGCCUGAUCUUAUACCGAAAUGCACCGCAUACCGGGCAGACAUUUAAAUUCUCGUGCUGACCGCGGUAGAGGAUGCAGUCAUUGAUGCAUGCAUGUAUCUUAUGCACUUCCAAUCCUAGAGGGCAGACAACCUUCUUUGCUUCGUACGUACUGCAGGGCAGCACGUUAUCUCUUGGAAGCAUCUUCUUCAUUAUUUUCAGCAGCUUUUCAAAUUCCUUGUCAGAUAUUCCAUUCUCUGCCUUCCAUUGCAGCAAUUCCAGGGUGGUGCCCAGCUUUUUCUGGCCAUCUUCGCAAAUUGGGUACAACAAUUUUUUGUGAUCUUCUAACAUGCGCUCCAACUUCAACCUCUCGUUUUCACUUUCGCAGUUUAUCUGUUCUUCACGAAUGACCUGACGAAGAUCAUCAUCAGACUCAUCAACAAUGUCCUCAAGUUCAGGCUCGUCUUCCCCCAUUUCAGUAUCACCGUGUUCACCGAACAUAGGAUAGUUAUCAUUAUCCUCUUCUUCUUCAUUGUCUUCCAUUACAACCCCUCUUUCUCCGUGCUUGGUCCAACAAAAAUAACUGGGCAUGAAGCCUUCUUGCAACAGGUGGGUGUGUACGGUUCUUGAGUUAGGGAAAUUCCUCUUAUUCUGGCAUUUUUUACAUGGACAAAAAAUAAAUCCAUUCUGCCUGUUUUUCUCAGCCACAUUGAGAAAAUUAUGCAUGCCAUUAAGGAAUUCGGGACGACGUCGAUCACUGUACAUCCAUUGCCGGUUCAUCUGCAUUAUAUAAAUUUAUCAAAAACCAUUAUGCUAAAUCAUCAUGACUAAAUUAAUUAAUUAAUACAAAAGGUUGAUCACACGUUAAAACCAAAGUAGCGUAGUGACCAUACAUAUAUAGUUCUCAUAAAAACAUACACUGAAACCAACCAUAAAAACUCUCUCUAAUUAAUGCAUUUAAAAACAACAACAAUGCGAUCAAAAUCGCAACAAAGGUAACAAUUGACCCGACGGCAUAAUGAUACCAAGCCUCUUUACUAAUUGCAUAUUUUCUAAUCUUUUUAAUCUUCAGACGCAUUGCGUCCAUCUCGCUCUUGUGACCAUCGACGACACCGGCAAGAACCUUUUCCAAGGUCAUCUUCUCUCUUUCAGUUUUUUCCAACCUUUCUUCAGUUUUUUUCAAUCUUUCUUUCAGGGCAACAUUUUCUUGUUCAACUAAGUGUAACUUCUCACCAAUAGGGUCGAUUGGCAUUUCCGGUUCCACUACCUCCUAGAUAAAAAUAUCUAUGUCAAGUUGGUCGGCGUAAUUAAUUGUCAUAUAAUCAGGAAAUGAAAAUAUGUAGUUAUAAAAGAUAAUAUACCACAUCCGAAUCAUAGACUGGACGAGGGCCAACGGGGACGGAUAUCAAAACCAUGACGCUAUACAUAUAAAAAAAAUCUUACACAAUAAGAAAAUUAUAUACAAGUAAAUAUGUAAAUCAUACAAAUCAAAAUUUGUUUUGGUAAAUAAAAACAAUAGGCUUACCAAGGUUGUGUCGGUGACGGGGCGAUCGACGGCGGUGAGGAAGGGGACAAGGCGCGCGACACUAAAAAAAACCACAAAUCAUAAUUAAAUUUGAGCUCAAAUUGCAUAUGUAUACAUAACAAAUGAUGAACUCUCUCUAGCUUAGGCAUUUCAUCAAACACCUAGCUAGCACAACAAAAAUGAAAUGAGCAAGAAAACGAGCAAAACUUGCAAUGCCGGAAGAGGGAAUGUUGAUGCUAACCGUAGGACCGAUGGGUGCCAACAAUCUUGACAAAUGGUGGAGAAAAAUGGGGAUGGAUUAGAGCUCCCAAGAGGAAGGAGAGAGCAAAAAUGGAGUUGAGCUCGAGCUAGAAAAAAAGGGGUGGAAUAUAGGGUGCUCAGGGAGGAAGGAGAGGAGGGCUUUAGGACCGGUUUGUGUCAAAAACCGGUUCUAAAGGGUCUGACAGCGGGGCCCUGCAGUUGCUGCAAAAAUGAGAAAACCUUUAGAACCGGUUUNNNNNNNNNNNNNNNNNNNNNNNNNNNNNNNNNNNNNNNNNNNNNNNNNNNNNNNNNNNNNNNNNNNNNNNNNNNNNNNNNNNNNNNNNNNNNNNNNNNNNNNNNNNNNNNNNNNNNNNNNNNNNNNNNNNNNNNNNNNNAAACCGGUUCUAAAGGGUCUGUCCACUGGGCCCCCCUCCCUGCAGCAAACGGUCCAAAAACCUUUAGGACCGGUUUGUGUUACAAACCGGUCCUAAAGGCCUUCCGGCCAUUUGCUGCAGGGAGGGGGCCCAGCGGACAGACCCUUUAGAACCGGUUUAUAUCCAAUCCGGGUCAAAUGUUGUUGGCUCAAUGUCCUGUUUUCUACUAGUGCAUGUAGCUGGGACCGUCAUAUAAAUAAUUUUGUUACAUAAACUUUUGGUGAUGAAAUAGCGAAAGUGAAUGUCUUUAUUUUAUUUCUCAUUUAAGGUAGAUACAAACAAUCUACAUACAACAAUAGUAACACAACCACAACUGCACUAACAACAUAGCACUAGCUAGUAUAUCCUACUCGUUUCUCUUGCCUCAGUCAUGCCACUCUCAUAUCUCACUUAUAUAAUUUGAUUGGGUACAUAUAAUGUUCAAUUGUAGCAGAUCAUUAUUCUAACUCGAUUGAAAUGCAUGUAUGGUUGUUAACAUGUGACAUGUUUCUUUUUACUACAAGACAUACAGGCUUAACUUUGGGGUGAUAUGUGUUUGCAGUCCUCUACCAUAAAUACCAGCUUCAUGGACAUUAGCUUUGCUCUAUAAAGAGAGAGUUGAGAAUCCCGAGAGAACAAUGUCGAUUAGGAGGAGUUGGAUGUUUUGCCACUUUCUAGGAAUGUGAGGUAUCAAGGAACACACCACUUGUAGUUAUCAUCGUAAGCAUUGCGUCAACGGGAAAGGUUGUCUUGGUUGUGGAGGAGUUCGACAAGUCACCUUUGUGGGGCUGCAUAACAUUUAGCCAAGCUGCCUACAACUUAAGCACCGUUCGAGGAGCCAAUAGUAUAAGGUACUAUAUACUCCCUCCGUUCUUAAAUAUAAGUCUUUAAAGAGGUUUCGUUAGUGAACUACAUACCGAUGUAUAUAGGCAUACUUUAAAGUAUAGAUGCAUUUAUUUUACUUCAUAUGUAGACUCCUAGUAAAAUAUCUUAAAAAACUUAUAUUUAGGAACGGAGGGAGUAGUAGACAGUGCUAAGGCGAGAACUUUCUAGGAAAGAGGUUGGUGGUGGUCUGACGGAGCACAAUAGCAAGGGAUAAUACUCCCUCCGGUCCUUUUUAGUCUGCAUAUUAGCUUUGUCCGAAGUCAAAGUAUCUCUGCUUUGACCAAAUUUAUAGAAACAUGUAUCAACAUUCAUAAUGCCAAAUUAAUAUUGUUAGAUUCAUUACGAAAGGUAGUUUCAUGAUAUGUAUAUUUGGUAUUGUAGAUGUUGAUAUUUUUUAAUAUAUAUUUGAUCAAACUUUGUAAAGUUUGACUCGAUCCAAAUAUAAUAUGCAGAGUAAAAAGGACCGGAGGGAGUAUCAUUUACUUUUUAGGACCGUGACAUCAGAAUUUUUAUGUGGAUCCCACGCGGAAGGGUGAAGGAGGCCCUGCCACAGCCCUUGUCGUCUGGGCUUUGCCCGGCGACACAGCUGGACGGCGAGGCAGGAGGUCCGCAAGUAGGAGGAGAGGGGAGGUGAUCACCUACACGUACAUGACCUAAACUUGUACACGGACAUAAAGUACUUUUAGACUCGCCGACGCAUGCAAGUCAAUCUGCAACUUGCUUACGAACACAUCAAUUUACUUGGACAAGACUGCCUAGCAUUCAUCCUCUAAUCUUGACUUGUCUCUUCUCAUACUCCCUCCGAUCUUGAUUCGUUCUUUACUCAUGACUUAUCAGCAUAUCAAUUUAAUCGUCAUAUUCGUAUAGUGAGUAUGGCCUGUCUAGAAACAUGCAAAACCUCCUUGCUUUACAAUGUUCUUCCAUUGCUAUUGCUUGGCCGCUUUCUUGCACUCGGCCCACACCAUAGUCCUUAUCCUUGCUUGCAGCGGAUCCACUCUGCACUACUUGCACACCUCUUCACCUUAUAAUGGUUCCGCCUACCAUCGUUCGUGUUCGGCAGCACACCGAAUUCACACUCGCCUCAAUCAAGAUGCUCCACGAUGACAUGGACAUGACCCAUGGAACAGCAUGCACAUCGCUUCCACUUCAACAAAUAAUCGCCAAGACGAGCACUUGGACACGCCGAAGUCGAACGUGCAAGUCGCACGACUCCUUGACUCCCCCCACUCCGCGAACGACGAUAUUGAUGAUCUCCAGCGCCACACCUCGGCACCACUCUCUCAUCGAAUAUAUCCUUCUGCCAACUUGCCAACGACGAUCGCCUGAUCCACCUCGUCGCUACACCACCUAUCGUCUUCAUAGACCGCCCCGAGGUGCUAGCAGGUUUCCAUCCUAGGACCAGCAUGCCUUUAAAUAGAGUGCUCUGAUACUAAUUGUUGGACUUCGUCCACAACAUCAAUCACAUCAAAUCACGAUAAAUACGUACACAAAAAAUGGAUAGCCAGGAGCUCUUGACAUCAGGGCGGAACGUGAACUAAAUCCAGGUGGGUUGGGCAACAGAGCUAUGAAGAUUAGAGAGGGCGGAUAAUUAGCUGGAAGUUUAGGUUAAAGGAGAAGCUUAUCACAUGAAAUUUCUCACGGAAGGGGGCCCGGACACCUGUUAGUCCCGCCAAUGCUUGUCGUGCCAUUUUUUUUGGUGAGUACACACCACAAUAGUGGCAUCACCGCAACUGCGGUAACAACCGAACACUAGGUAUAUCCCAUUCAUUAAUGUUGCCUCAUUUGUGCAAUUUAUGAGACGUCUCAUUUAUAUAUUUUGAUUGGGUGCAGAUAAUAUUCAAUUGGAGCAGAUCGUCAUUAUUCUAACUUGAUUGAAGUGCAUCUAUGGUUGUUAAGAUGUUAUAUGUUUCUUCGUACUAUAAGAUAUAUGUGCAUAACUUUGGGUUGAUCUGUGUUUGCAGUCCCCUACCAUAAAUACCAGCUUCACGACUAUAUUAGCUUUGCUUUAUAAAGCCAGACUUGAGAAUCCAGAGAGAACAAUGUCGACUAGGAGUAGUUGGAUGUGUGCCACUUUCUAGGAAUGUGAGGUAUUCAGGAACGAAUUGAAUAAGUAAAUUUAGUGGUGCCGGUAUCUAGCGGUGAGGAAUCCACCAUCCGUUGCUGCUUCUAUAUUCGUGCGUGUGGACCCCAUGCGAGAUAUUGUCAACCUUGACGUCGAUGUCUUUCCCACAUCCAGCUCUCUUUCUCCAUCUCUCUCGUCUGUUCCUAUUGGUCGCGGUUCACCGUCGCCGGUGGCUUCCGCCCAUUGUGGACAGCAUAUCUGUCUUAUCCACCAAGGCCCAGCACCCGAUACGAUUUCCGCAGUCGGCUUCGCAGUAGCACGACCAGGCUUCAGCGUAUAGAACAUCCCAACAACUUUUCCCCCAUGUAUCCAUAUAGCAGGACUUUCAUUGCAUAAGCACUGAAGCAAGCUGAAGACGCACCAUCGUCAUUGCGCCUUCCAUAUCGGAGCUAGGCAAACCGUGUUUUAGUAGACUGUCUGAAAGUCGUCAUGCUAAGGUCCCACUUGACCAACGCGCCAAAACAACAAGCGUCACUGAUGAGGAGAAGUUUAGGUUGGAAGUAUCCAACUUUUAUACACAUAUAACAAAGACCAUAUCAAAUUAGAUUCAAGAAAGACAAGCACCAACCGACCCUGCAAGAUCCGUCGGAGACACACCUUCACGCGUCCUUCAACGACGCUACAUGGGAAUCUUUGAAACGUAUGGAAACUAAAGUAUAGCUUUUUCGUGUUUUCAUGAUUUUGUAGUUUCGAUUGGCAUUAUACAGUAAAGUCACAUCUUGAAAAUAUGUUAAUUUAAUAGAUGUAAACUUUUUGAAACAAGAGGAUUUUUAGCAGCACAAAAGAACACGAAGAACGACCAGUCAAGUAGAAAUAGAGGACUCACAAUUGAGCAAAGUAAAUUAGUUGGGUAAAGUUGGAUGUAUAUACUGCAUGAGAAAUGCCAGGUGUCAAGAUGUACAUGUAUUUUUAUUUUUUCAAAAAUGUUGCUUCCUUCCUCUCUUUACGAUGGAAAAUUUGAACAUUUAUCCCUGUUUACCUAAAUGUUGCUUUAGUUCUGAUAGCACACACAAGGCUUUUCUGCUGUUCCACGAGAAUAACAAUAUACAUUGGAUGAUGUCGUAAGCUUUACCAUUUGGGCAACAAGAGAUUGAAAAUAACUACUAUACAGACGAAACAAAUACGAGAGGAAUGGAUGGUUGCAAUAUGACAAUAAUGAGAGAAAAAGAACCAUGGUGAUCAUUCAUGCUGACUGUAGCAUCAACUUUUGGAAUAUAUUUUAUAAACAGAGGCAAAAGAAUUGCCUCAUCAAUUAACAAAAGAAUUGGCCGGUUAAUUUGCAAAAAACAGGGAAAAAAUGGAUACAAACAACCCAAAAGAGGGCUACUCACAAAGCAUGAAACACCACAUCAACAUAGGAUGCCUGCCCAAUGAUCCUAACACACAACACUCACAACCCUCAACACAUUUGGCGAGAACACCAACACAAUGACUCACAAGAUCAAAGCCACGACAAUGACAGGAGAAUGUGAGCCCUAUCCAUCAUGAAAUCAUGAAUGCCUUUCCUUUCCAUGAGGAGGCAACCGUUUGUAUUGUAGGAUCCAGGGCGAUCAAUCAAUAAGCGGCUCUCAGAAGCAGGCGCCAACGCACCACUAGUAUCAACAAUUCACCAGAUGCACACAUGUCAAAGAUAAAUAAUGUUCCUGACAGGAGGUCACCAACGAGUCCAUGUUCAUAUUCUUCACUGACAGACUAAGAGAAAUCUCUCUAAGCUCGGGCAUGAUCUGCAACAUCGGAGCCAUGACAAAGGUGACGGACUCACCUCAGUGGAAGACAAUAUAAGGGCCGAGGUCGACAUCGAUGUGGAAUUGUCUCCACGAGUGGAGAAACAUCUGAAUAACUCCACCCCUCUGUCCGCUACGGAGCCAUGGCGUUGUCUGAUAUGCCAGAAGAGACUGAACCAUCACUUUGGACUGGAUUGCCAAACUAGCGGAAGUAGAGACAACUAAUGCCCAUGACCCACGGUGAAGUGCCUUGGAAGGGAGCAUGGAUUUCAUAUAUAGGACCCUCACAGGAAGCAGGAGGAAUAAGAUGCAUAGAGGCGGGGCAAGACACACAAGGCGUGGAAUGGCAUGCUACCGAGCUUAGAGGACACCAGGGGAUUGGGGCAUCCACGACGAGAGCACGAUAUCGGCUCGCUAUAAUCAGUCGCACGACGUCCAUGAGCGAGGAACCUGCAACAUCUACCGUAAAGCCAAGAGGGGAUGGGACGUUGAGCCACUUUGGGGUAUGGCGACCACAUCAAAACAUGCGGGCUACACCGUGGAAGUACCUCCUGCCAAUCACCACUUGUGUUUGCCUCAUGCCACACGCAAAUCCUGUCCAACUCGAGGGCCUUGGUGGCACCCAGCAGUGUCUGGGGGGCUAGGUCCUCUUCAUCAUCUUUAUCGUUGUUAUUGUCGUCACCAGGGGAGGUCCACAAUAGAGAUCGCGACACAAGAGUCAGUUCGCCCCCAGGCCAAUGACGCCGCACUCCAGAUCCUUUGCAUUGUCCUCAUCGAUGACAUUGGUUGAGGAAACAUGGUCAUGUUGUGGCACAUCUGAUGCAACACCGUCAAGACGGACAGCGGCUAUCAGCAACACAUCCUAGGUGGGACAGGGGCGGUGGGCAUUGGGCAUUUUGGGGGCGAAGUAGCUGUCGUAGGCCUCGAAUAUGGUGUCAGCGACGCCUUCACGCGCCCGUCUUCCUUCCUGAAUCUGCAGGUUGGGGGUUGCGGCCAUGAUCGAGCGUGAACGUCGGCAGACGGGUUGCUCCUGCUGGCGUCCACCGCAGCACUGUCCACCGACGCCACCGCACGGCACAACCCCUGGGCAUCAAGUAUCGCCUCCACCUUGAUCACCUAGGAGAUGUAUUUCUUCGGUGUCAACGGCGGAACAUCCAUCGUCACUGACACACCGCCGCCGCCGAACGGGACCAUCGCCAUGGCAGCCGGCGAUCACCCUCCAACCAGGCUCUCAUGCCAAUUGUUGGUGCGGGAAUGGAACCGCUGCACUCCGGUGAUCACUAGAAACAGCUUCAGAAGAGAGGAAGGAGAAGUACAACAUAUUUCUGACCCUCGAACACCACCGCUGCACCAACGACGCACUCUAUAUUGCGUGAGCACGAACUCAAUUUUCUCAUCAAUUACAAGGGUUGGGAUUUGAGCUUUAUACGCCAGCCACACCAGCGCGUGCCGCGCCACGUCCACGACCAACUCACCACGCCCCGGACCUCCUGGGCUCGCGAACCCGCCGCGCACAUACACGAACGACGCGGCCACCACCGGUGCACUUGACUAAGUCACCCUACUCCUGCGCUAGCUACCGCACGCACGCACGCCUAACCCACACAUACACACACACUCGGCCGCGCCCACACGUACGCGAGUGCCUGCCGCGAAUCGCACCCAACGUGCCUUGCGCGCACGCUUUGAGGUUUCGGCCGCGGCUUAUUCCCAACAAGAAUUGUUGUUGCACAAUAAGCUAGACUAGCUAGCACCUUAGUUUGUCAGUGUUAGUUUUCCCUUGAGUCAAGAUUCAGUUAGCGCACGUUUAGCCAUCAGGUUAGUUAUCUCAACUCCCGCAAGACGUGGUACGUACGAUGUGCGUAGAGUUUUUUGGAGCCGUGGAGUGAGUGCUCAAUCGUGGGAUGGCACGAUUCAGUAGAGCGUCAGGAUCGCGGCAUGGUAGUUUGGGUUCGAGCUAAUAAAGAGGUGAAGAACUGAAAAGCAGCAGACAGUUAGAGCUGCACAAAACGAACUCGCCAUUGACAGAGCAUCGAGUUCACUGGUAGCUAGGGGCGACAAGUGGUAUCACAGCCAUCGCGGGAACCUCGACAACCGGUGGCGCCCGGUCGCAGACGCCUCCUCGCCUCCGCGCUCCGUCCCAAGAUCGGGGAAGGACUUGGUACCGCGGUGAAACGGUGGUGCAGCAAGUGGUGCAGCCGGCGUCCUCGAGUGGCGCGCUCCCAAUGCUGUCGCGCACCAACUACGCGGAGUGGGCGCUGCUGAUGAAGGUUUACCUCCAGGCCCAUGGCUGGUGGGGGGCGGUGGCUCAUGGUGAGGCCUCCUACCACGACGAGCGCAACGCCAUGAUCACCAUCCUUCGAGGCCUUCCAGCAGAUGUUCUUCUUGCGGUAGGCGAGAAGGAGAACCCUAAGCAGGCUUGGGAUGCUAUCGCCAUGCAGCGCCUUGGCGCCACACGGGUGCGGGAGGCUAACGCUCAGAAGCUCCGUCGCGAUUUUGAGAGCAUCAGUUUCCGCGACGGGUAGACGAUCAAUGACUUCUUGCUUCUCCUUUCCCAUGGUGUCGCAUGAAGGUGGCGGGCGGAGCAGGUAGCGCUGCAGUAGGACGGCCAUGGCCGCGGCUGCGGCAACGUAGCUGGUGGCGACGCAAGUGGCGGCGGAGGCGCAGGCGGCGGCGCAGGACGGCCAGGCGGCGACGGGACAGAGUGGCGUCGAGUGGCCCGAUUAGAACACUAGGAUUGAUUUCGAGACGUUGUUGCGCGGUCCCACAUGUAAGCUCCGGACCCACGUCCACGUAGUACGACGUGUAAGCUCCGGACACGCUACCACUAACGCCAAUAGACGGAAUGGAGUCAAAACUGCCUGUUUGGCCUCAUCACAAUAGUUGUGCACAGUCUAGAGGCAAAACUGAGGACGAUUCACAACUCAGGGUAAAACUAAGCACAUGAACACCACCGAAGGCAAAAGGAUAAUUAGCCCUUUAAAGUAUAGCUCAUUUUCAGCCUCUCACCAAGUUGUAGUAUUCAUAUAUUUUUCGAACAGUUGGAAUAAAUGCUUGACCAUUAUAUGUGUGCCUUUCAUAUUAUUAAAAUGCAUGCAUAAUAUGCCAAGGAUUCUACAAAUGUACAAUGGGGAAUACACAAUAAAUAAGCAGUUUUAAUGUACUCCCUUUUACUUUCUAUUUUAAUAGAUAUACGAGUCAUCGAUCUAAUUGAUUAGUGAUUAUGAUUAAAUCUUAUCUUCUUACCUUACAUGUAAAAUGAGAGGGUAAGGGGGAAUAAGCUAAAAUUUGCCAUGCAAAAUUUACAACCUUAGAUGAUGUGUCGUUUGUCUGAAGUAUCCGACCUUGAAGAAAUGUUAUAAUAUUCCUACCAACCAUUCAUUAAACAUGGAUGCCACCCCUAUAAAGCCAGUUGCAUACAUGUCUACUAUCAUUGCAUACAAUCUCUUCUUCUACUUCCUCCUACGUAUCUUAGCCCCUUUAAGCAACUAGGCAGUAGCACUAGCAUUCUAUCUAAAACGAGUGAAAUAGUAAUUUCGGGAAAAAUAGAGACAUGUCUAAAAUGAGCAAACAUAGUACUGAUUAGCAUUUGGACGCGUGAACAGAGUUCGGAAUGAGAGGCACUCGGGAGGACAUCAUCUAUUGAAGCUUAGAUUCUUCUUUCUCAACUUGUUGUGCCAUGCCUGGCACAUCAAGAGAAAGUGAAGACCUUGAGAAAUGCCCCUCUAGAGACGGUGGCAGCUGUUCCAGGGCCAACUUCGGGUAGGGCGUGGCCAAGCUUUCUAGUAGGUGGAUGAGGCGUUUCUGUAUCAAUAUAGCAGGGCUUUCUGUGUAUUAGCAGGUGGAUGACGCCUUCCACCGAUGGACCACACACUAUACCUGGCGAGCCCACGCCAAAGAGACUUCCGCGGCAGGAAUGGCCGCUGUGGGGCACUAGACUACAACACUGUAUAAAGUAAAAUUUUAUUACUGUCCUUAUAUAAUCGAUCGGACCACUCACUCCAAAAGCAGACAGACCAUAGGUUGACAGGUGGUUUAUCCGGAAAAUCAUCAGUCAUUCCUUGUCACAAACUCCUUCAAACAGUGCCAGGGGUCCCGUUUCCCUACACCUCAGCUAAUGUGUUUUAAGGACUAGGCAACCUCUUCGUUAUAAGACCGAGAAUAUNUUGAAACUAUGUUAAUUUAACAGGUGUCAACUUUUUAAAACAUGUGGGGAUAUUUAGCAGCAGAAAAGAACACGAAGAGAGUCCAGACAAGUAGAUAUUAAGUAAUCACGAUUGAGCAAAGUAAGUUAGUUGGGUAAAGUGGGAUGUAUGUACUGCAUGGAAAAUGUGAGUCAAGAUUUACAAAAAUGUUUGUUCAUUCCACUCUAUACGUCGCAAAAUUUGAACAUUUACCCCAUUUUACAUAAAUGUUGCUUUAGUUCUGGUAGCACACAGAAGUCCUUUCUGCUGAUCCACGAAAACAACAAGAUACAUUAGCUGAUGUCAUUUUGGCACCAAAGACAUUGAGUACGACUAACUGUACAGAAGCAACGACUACGAGAGGAAUGGAUGGUUGCAAUAUGUGAAUAAUGAAAAAAAGAAAAGAACUCUGGUGAUCAUUCACGCUGACUGUAGCAUUCUACUUUCGGAAUAUAAUUAAGUCAUGCUUUAGGAAAUAAAAAUUAGCAAGAUUCAUUAAAAGAAGAAAAUGGAGUGUUAUUUUGUUAGGUACAUGUCAUGCACAGACCAAAAGAGAAAAGGAAAAUAUGCUAUAAUGUGAAUGCGAGACGGAUUUUUGUGCAAGUCCACAACACUAGUUUUUUUCCUAAGAAUCUUUCGUGACAAGCUAUCCCCCCUCAUAUACUAGAUAUAUGGAAACUUCCUUCUUCCCUGGCUCCAGGUAUAUAUGAGCUUCAUCUUAGGUCAUUGCAACCAUACAAUAAGUCAAUAGUAGAAUUCUGAAUUGGAGUAGCCUUAUUUUGAAACUUAGGAUGCACCCAUGAUUAUUAGGGACACGCUAGAGUUACCAGUACAAAAUUAGUGUGUGCAACCUUUCUUGGAAAUGAGAUACUCCCGGAACACAUCGGCUGCAACUGUGGGACUGGUAGGUUGUGGUGAGAUCAGUUUGAAGAUGCCAGAAAUAUCAGGCGCUUCGUGCAGCUGGGACUCUUGCCAUUCAUCAAGUUUAGACACAAACCAUGUUGGGUCCAACCACUCUGAUUUCUUUUUUGUGUCGUCCCCAUGUCUUCCAAAUGAUUAAGCCGACGCUACCGCACCAUCUGAGUACGUUGUUGGACCAGGACAAUCAUGAGGUCUAGUAUAGGAUUAGGCUGGUGAUUAGCUAGUAUAAAAAUGUGGUCAGAAGUUUGAGGUGUAUAUGAAACACGUGACCUGCAACCGUGCUGUGUCAACGAUCAAGACAUUUUUCUAGGAAGGUUACUCGGUAACCUCACAGGUAUGGAACCGGAGUGAGUGGUAUUUAACGUUAACAACAUGUCUACAAUCAUCUUGUGGAAGAAUCGAGUGCAUCAUGGUAGAUGCAAACACAGUGAUACAAGAUAUUUCUACUUAAGGGGGUGCGUGGAAGAAUGUGAGUUUGUAUGUUUGCACUGAUGACCAACUUACAUACAUUCUAACAAAGGUUUUGGAUCAAGAAAAGUUCUUAGAAAAGGGAAGAAGGGUCGACGAUGGAGCUAUGACGUGACGUCUUCGUGUUUAGGGUAGUGAUUGUUGGAAUUAACCACGUCAACUGAGUUCGUGUUGGAGUGUUACAAUCAUCAGAACUCGUAUAGGAUUAGGCUAUCUAGGUUAGCUCCUAUAUAUACAUAUCCCUGGACCUUUGUGAUUUG